AAAAUUUUUACAAAUUUUUUUCAGAAAUUAAAAGAUGUCAUAUCGACCUUCAGCAAAUCAUCAGACACAACUUUGAGAGCAGCUUUCCAACGCCAAAAGAAAAAAUUCUUCAAGCAAACAACCCGCAUUAAAACCC
Long non-coding RNA from Rhagoletis zephyria (snowberry fruit fly), 136 nucleotides. RefSeq lists it as uncharacterized. NCBI's taxonomy places the organism in Eukaryota, Metazoa, Arthropoda, Insecta, Diptera, Tephritidae. The record is from RefSeq and is a predicted model, not a curated record.